AUGGCCGGGUUUGAGCUGGAUCCGAAGGCAGGGCUGAGGAAGGAGCUGGGCAGGCGAUGCUGGGUCGUGGAGCCUGCAGGGAUCUGUGCUGCUGCCGUGCUCUGCUCCCAGCCCCUGAGCUGCACGGACGUGCCUGCUGCUGGGGAGCACACCCAGCAGCGGUGUGAGACACCUCGUGAGCGUGAGCUUCAGGGCUGGCCUUUGCAAAAGUCACCCAAACUAACGAGUGUUUUAUCUGUUUUGCCAGGGCUGGACACCGAAGAAGCAAAAUUCAUUUCUGCUAUGGGCCGGUUGCCCUUCAGCAAAGAGCCAGGAGUUUGUUUUAUCUGCCCUGGGACCCCGGAGCAGGGCGAAGGCUUUCAGCUGCCGUGCAGCCGCUCGUCCCGUGCCAUGGAGAGACCCCCAAAUUACCAAGAGAGCUUUCUGCAGCCCCUGUGCGGGAUGAGGGAGAGGAGCUGCUUUGGAGGCCCUCAUGCAACAUCACAAAGCUGCAGCACAAAAUUGCCAGGAGCCCUGGGCUGCUGGGCCUCUUCACAGCCACAUUUCUCAGGGGACGCUAAAGGAAGUUUGGUCCUUCUCAUCCCGGUGACGUCCCUGCGAGGCUUCACGGGGCGCUGCAGCCGGCGGCUUCCUCCACCUCGCGUGGCCUUGGUGCUCGGGUCAGCAUCCUCAAACAGCUGGGGAAGCAGCUGGGCGAUCUCACGGGGAUUUGUGCACGCUCAGGGGCAAGUCGUGGGAAAACGUGCUCUGGGAUGGUCUCGCACACCCACGUGGGCUUCUCCGGGGUCUCCUGGGGCACACGCUGCCUGUUCUCAGUGUUUUCCCAUGCUGCUCGUGUUGGGCUGUCACAGCUGCUUCAGGAGGAACUCGGGGCUGGGCCUGCACCCGUGUUGCAGCUGGCGAGCUGAGGGAUGUGUGGGGCAGCCCUUGCACCACCGCCUGUGUCACGUUGUCCAGAAGAGCCCAGGACCACUUGGAGAGCACCAACGGACCUGGGAGAAGCUGAAACAAACUGGUCCUGAGGCCUGUUACUGGGACGUUCACUGA
This 1047-nucleotide long non-coding RNA is filed under the name Anas platyrhynchos platyrhynchos (common mallard). RNAcentral describes it as "lncRNA (ENSAPLG00000027333.1)". Lineage: Eukaryota; Metazoa; Chordata; Aves; Anseriformes; Anatidae. The record is from RNAcentral.